GUGGGGAAUUUUGGACAAUGGGCGCAAGCCUGAUCCAGCAAUGCCGCGUGCAGGAAGAAGGCCUUCGGGUUGUAAACUGCUUUUGUACGGAACGAAACGGUCCUGGCUAAUACCUGGGGCUAAUGACGGUACCGUAAGAAUAAGCACCGGCUAACUACGUGCCAGCAGCCGCGGUAAUACGUAGGGUGCGAGCGUUAAUCGGAAUUACUGGGCGUAAAGCGUGCGCAGGCGGUUGUGUAAGACAGGCGUGAAAUCCCCGGGCUCAACCUGGGAAUUGCGCUUGUGACUGCAAGGCUGGAGUGCGGCAGAGGGGGAUGGAAUUCCGCGUGUAGCAGUGAAAUGCGUAGAUAUGCGGAGGAACACCGAUGGCGAAGGCAAUCCCCUGGGCCUGCACUGACGCUCAUGCACGAAAGCGUGGGGAGCAAACAGGAUUAGAAACCCCGGUAGUCC
Molecule: ribosomal RNA, 450 nt
Filed under: uncultured bacterium
Lineage: Bacteria
Description: partial 16S ribosomal RNA
Rfam family: Bacterial small subunit ribosomal RNA
Source: RNAcentral